UUUGCUGACGACCGGCGCACGGGUGCGCACCGCGUAUGGAAUCUGCCCUUUACAGGGGGAUAGCCUUUGGAAACGAAGAUUAAUACCCCAUAGUACCUUUAGUAGCAUUGCUAGAUGGUUAAAGGUUUCGGCCGGUAAAGGAUGACCAUGCGUCCCAUUAGCUAGAUGGUAAGGUAACGGCUUACCAUGGCAACGAUGGGUAGGGGCCCUGAGAGGGGGAUCCCCCACACUGGUACUGAGACACGGACCAGACUCCUACGGGAGGCAGCAGUGAGGAAUAUUGGACAAUGGGUGAGAGCCUGAUCCAGCCAUGCCGCGUGCAGGAAGAAUGCCCUAUGGGUAGUAAACUGCUUUUAUACAGGAAGAAAAAAGAGUACGUGUACUCUACUGACGGUACUGUAAGAAUAAGGACCGGCUAACUCCGUGCCAGCAGCCGCGGUAAUACGGAGGGUCCGAGCGUUAUCCGGAAUUAUUGGGUUUAAAGGGUCCGUAGGCGGGCUAAUAAGUCAGAGGUGAAAGUCUGCGGCUCAACCGUAGAAAUGCCUUUGAUACUGUUAGUCUUGAGUCAUGGUGAAGUGGGCGGAAUAUGUAGUGUAGCGGUGAAAUGCAUAGAUAUUACAUAGAACACCUAU
This 632-nucleotide ribosomal RNA is filed under the name Maribacter sp. RNAcentral's name for it is "bacterial SSU rRNA". It matches the Rfam family "Bacterial small subunit ribosomal RNA", at positions 84 to 713 of the family's 1533-position model. The record is from RNAcentral. Lineage: Bacteria; Pseudomonadati; Bacteroidota; Flavobacteriia; Flavobacteriales; Flavobacteriaceae.